AACGAACGCUGGCGGCGUGCCUAACACAUGCAAGUCGUGCGAGAAAGUUCCUUCGGGAGCGAGUAAAGCGGCGCACGGGUGAGUAACACGUAGGUAACCUGCCCCCCAGUCUGGAACAACUAGAGGAAACUCUAGCUAAUGCCGGAUGAGACCACGAUCCCUUCGGGGGUUGCGGCCAAAGAUGGCCUCUACUUGUAAGCUAUCGCUGAGGGAUGGGCCUGCGGGCCAUUAGCUUGUUGGUGAGGUAACGGCUCACCAAGGCUGUGAUGGCUAGCUGGUCUGAGAGGAUGACCAGCCACACUGGGACUGAGACACGGCCCAGACUCCUACGGGAGGCAGCAGUGGGGACUAUUGCGCAAUGGCGAAAGCCUGACGCAGCGACGCCGCGUGGGUGAUGAAGGCC
RNAcentral lists this ribosomal RNA (403 nucleotides) under uncultured bacterium. Its description in RNAcentral is "bacterial SSU rRNA". It matches the Rfam family "Bacterial small subunit ribosomal RNA", at positions 29 to 416 of the family's 1533-position model. The record is from RNAcentral.